This 1006-nucleotide long non-coding RNA is filed under the name Salvia miltiorrhiza (redroot sage). Its description in RNAcentral is "long non-coding RNA (SMIL_LNC001038)". The record is from RNAcentral. Lineage: Eukaryota; Viridiplantae; Streptophyta; Magnoliopsida; Lamiales; Lamiaceae.
CCUUAGUGAUAGGCUCUCUUAUUUUCAAGCUUAACCUACAUAGAAGAGCUUAAGCUGAAUAUAGAGUCAAAUAGCCAACAGUUUACUGCAUAGAAAAGCUUAAGCUAAAAAAUAUUAACAUUUAAAAAAUGACAAACUUACCUAUUAUGCAAAAGUCGAAGCCAUUGUGUCUGUAAGAUAAACUAAACCUGGUCUCUAGGUAAAGAAAAGAAAAAAUGAAGCAAAUCUGUCAAUCACUCACAAAUAAGAUAAGACUUAAGAUCUACCAUAAUAAGCAUACACAUUGUCUCAAUAGUUAGCAAAGGUAACAAAGUUAAUACUAUGUUUUUCUUUUUUGAAGGAAAGUUAAUACUAUGUUAUAAACUACUAAUUCAUGUCAUUAGAUCAAACGGAGUUAGCAAGGUAACAAAGUUAAUACUAUGUUAUAAACUACUAAUUCAUGUCAUUAGAUCAAAUGUUGGAAUAUGGCCGCCUAAUCAUAUCAAGAAAAACAUCCCACGCACACUACAAUCUCAAUGUCAGUCUUGUCACAAAGUAUUUAUCAUCCCACUUCAAUCAUCAUCUUCCUCCUACACCAAAUUGAACAAAAAUACUCUAGUCAACAUGAUUGAACAAUGCAAAAUUCUCAAGGAUUGAAAAGAGAAUUGAAUACUGUUCGGUAUAUAGACAACAAACCUCGCCAUUGUCUUCCUCAUCUUCGUCAUUUACUUCUGACUUUGACUUGUCAGAAUCAUCAUCAGCACCUCCAGCCUAUUAAAAUGUUCAAAAGACACUUUAGUAUACUGUAGUUGGCCAAUGUAAACCCCAUUAUAUGGUUGAAAUAUACUAAUAAUAAAAAUAUAUAUAUAUAUGAAUAUAUAGCACACGUUAUGCAGUAGUAACUCGUGAUGAUAAAUCACAAUUCACAACUGAGAGUGGUAUAAUAUUUAUUUUCCCUUUGACCAACAAGGGCAAAUUCAUUGCAUUAUAAACUUCUUUACUGUUUCAUAUUUAAACUUAACACGCA